AUUGAACGCUGGCGGCAUGCCUUACACAUGCAAGUCGAACGGUAACAGGUCUUCGGAUGCUGACGAGUGGCGAACGGGUGAGUAAUACAUCGGAACGUGCCUAGUAGUGGGGGAUAACUACUCGAAAGAGUGGCUAAUACCGCAUGAGAUCUACGGAUGAAAGCAGGGGAUCGCAAGACCUUGUGCUACUAGAGCGGCCGAUGGCAGAUUAGGUAGUUGGUGGGAUAAAAGCUUACCAAGCCGACGAUCUGUAGCUGGUCUGAGAGGACGAUCAGCCACACUGGGACUGAGACACGGCCCAGACUCCUACGGGAGGCAGCAGUGGGGAAUUUUGGACGAUGGGCGCAAGCCUGAUUCAGCAAUGCCGCGUGCAGGAUGAAGGCCUUCGGGUUGUAAACUGCUUUUGUACGGAACGAAAAGCCCUGGGUUAAUACCCUGGGGUCAUGACGGUACCGUAAGAAUAAGCACCGGCUAACUACGUGCCAGCCGCCGCCGUAA
RNAcentral lists this ribosomal RNA (498 nucleotides) under uncultured bacterium. RNAcentral's name for it is "partial 16S ribosomal RNA". It matches the Rfam family "Bacterial small subunit ribosomal RNA", at positions 30 to 523 of the family's 1533-position model. The record is from RNAcentral.